This 232-nucleotide ribosomal RNA is filed under the name Burkholderia territorii. Its description in RNAcentral is "partial 16S ribosomal RNA". It matches the Rfam family "Bacterial small subunit ribosomal RNA", at positions 1 to 231 of the family's 1533-position model. The record is from RNAcentral. Lineage: Bacteria; Pseudomonadati; Pseudomonadota; Betaproteobacteria; Burkholderiales; Burkholderiaceae.
UUGAACUGAAGAGUUUGAUCCUGGCUCAGAUUGAACGCUGGCGGCAUGCCUUACACAUGCAAGUCGAACGGCAGCACGGGUGCUUGCACCUGGUGGCGAGUGGCGAACGGGUGAGUAAUACAUCGGAACAUGUCCUGUAGUGGGGGAUAGCCCGGCGAAAGCCGGAUUAAUACCGCAUACGAUCCACGGAUGAAAGCGGGGGACCUUCGGGCCUCGCGCUAUAGGGUUGGCC